Long non-coding RNA from Ochotona curzoniae (black-lipped pika), 1142 nucleotides. RefSeq lists it as uncharacterized. The record is from RefSeq and is a predicted model, not a curated record. NCBI's taxonomy places the organism in Eukaryota, Metazoa, Chordata, Mammalia, Lagomorpha, Ochotonidae. The transcript is spliced from 2 exons.
CACGGCCACUCUGAAGGCGGUGGCAGGGCGAGUGGGACAGGGCUGACCGCGAGACAGCAGCCAGGUCUUCUGAGGGUUCUGUGGGAUGCUGCCAGGGCCCCGGGUGGGGUUACUCUCAGCCCCAACCCCUGCUGUCCUCUGUGUCAUGGUAUGGGGCAGGGCCCUGAUUGAGAAAGUUCAAGUUUUGUCCCAGUUUUCCCUUAAAGAUGCAGAACUUGGAGCUGGCCAUCCCACUGCCCAACGUCUAGUGUCACUCUGUGGUUAUAGGGAUGGCGCUCCGGUCUGUUCUGCCUCCUGUGAGAAGUUUGUUGUUUCGAAGGAGUGAUAUUAUGGGUGCUAGACUGCUUUGUACGUGUGCGCUUCUCAACAGCAACCAACAGCUGUGGGCACAGUGCGGGGUGCCAAUGCAUAGUACUAUAUGGAGAUGUGUGGUUCAGUACUGUGCAGAGUACUGAAUGCACAGUGCCUGUGGAGUGCUGGAUGCACAGUGCCUGUGGAGUGCCGGACGCACAGUGCCUUGUGAGGUGCUGGACGCACAGUGCCUUGUGAGGUGCUGGACGCACAGUGCCUGUGGAGUGCCGGAUGCACAGUGCUGUACAGAGUACACUCCCACUGUUCUACCCGAAAGGCGUGGCACAGAGUGGUGAGUACAGUGAGUACAGUGGCCGAAGGCUGGCUCCCAGGGUGCUGACCAAAGUUCCUGGAUCCUUUUGCCAGGAAAGUGUCCAAGAGAGGGGCGGGGUCAGCACGUGGCGCCUGUUGGCUGACUUGGAGGAGCGUGGCUUGUGUGAGCCACGCAGGAAGCGUUUGGUUUGUUGCCCUGUUGUUCCAAGCUGAAUGCGAACACUGGAAGACUGGCCUGAAGCCUUGAGGCCCUGGUGCUGCGCUUUAACUACUCAGGGUCAUAGUUUGUGAUUUCUUGGGUUUCACUCAGAUGAAUCCAACUUUAAUGUUCAUUUACCUGAAAGGCAUAGUGACAGAGGCAAGCAGAGACUGGCCGUGUGAGCAGGGGGCUGGGUCAGAAGUGGGGCAGGACUGAAGUCUAUACUCCCGUGGGGCGUCUCUCACAGCUCCAGCCCAGAUCCAACUUCUAAGCUAACUUUGAAUAAGAAGGCAAUAAUUAAGAUGUGCAUUCAUCUUUU